RNAcentral lists this ribosomal RNA (253 nucleotides) under uncultured bacterium. RNAcentral describes it as "partial 16S ribosomal RNA". It matches the Rfam family "Bacterial small subunit ribosomal RNA", at positions 524 to 776 of the family's 1533-position model. The record is from RNAcentral.
GACGAAGGAUGCAAGCGUUAUCCGGAUUCAUUGGGUUUAAAGGGAGCGUAGGUGGUCUUCUAAGUCAGUGGUGAAAUCCUGUCGCUUAACGAUAGAAUUGCCAUUGAUACUGGAGGACUUGAGUGUAGUUGCCGUUGGCGGAAUAUGACAUGUAGUGGUGAAAUACAUAGAGAUGUCAUAGAACACCGAUUGCGAAGGCAGCUGACGAAACUAUAACUGACACUGAGGCACGAAAGCGUGGGGAUCGAACAGG